This is a long non-coding RNA of Populus euphratica (Euphrates poplar), 1594 nucleotides long. RefSeq lists it as uncharacterized. The transcript is spliced from 2 exons. Lineage: Eukaryota; Viridiplantae; Streptophyta; Magnoliopsida; Malpighiales; Salicaceae. The record is from RefSeq and is a predicted model, not a curated record.
AUCAAACUUGUAGGCUUUAAUUUAACGGCAAAUAAAAUAAUUAGACAAGCACCUAAAAAAAUUAAUUAGACGGUGUCGCUUUGGCACUCAAAGGCCGAAGGAAUGGCUAGAAAGAAGCUCCUCCGUCGACAAAGAAACAAACAAGCACGGGGGAGCUCUCACCCGCGGUGAGAGCAUGAUGCACACGUUAGCAGCACCCCAGCUGAAGAAUGAAUGUAAUGCUGCCUUGAAAGUUGAAAUGUUCAGUCAAAUCAAACUAUUUUAUUGGUUAAGUAUUGUUGCUCUUUCAUAUUUAUUUUUUUCCUUUCUUUGGAGCAGUAUUUGUGUCGUUUUAAUCCUCGAAAUGUUCAUUCUCGCAAUUUCUCAUCAUCUUCAUCGCCAUCAUGCAGUAAAAGAUGUCUGCUCUCUCCCUCUCUUUCUCGGUUUUGUCAUUGUUAAUUACAAGUAUUGAGUUAAACCCAGCUCAUCAUCUUCAUCACCAUCGUUCUUUGGGUAUAAAUCACGAGCUGCUAGUAUUAUGUUGACGUGAGUUGCGAUCACGGAGCUUUUUUCUUCUCUGAUCAUAGCAUUUGAUGAUGGAUUCGUUUUUAUCUGUAAAUUUAUUGUUGACAGAUUGCACCUCUUCGGGAUCAGAUAUUUUUAGGUCCCUUUUCUCCUAGGGUGUUGUACUUGUUUUUUUUUUUGCUGUGUUCGUGAUUUUUAGAACUGAUGACCCAUAGUUACGUAAAUGAACUAUUGAAUGUCAGGUUUCUUUUUUUUAUUCAUACGCAAAUCACAGUGUAAGGUCUGCUGCUGCUGCUUCUUCUUGAUUUCUAGUUGAACGAAGGAUGAGAGUAGUGGAGAUGGGUGGGGCUCAAACUGCUCAAGAGUUGUUCAACAUGUAAGGAGCUGCUAAAGAUGACCACACCAGGAAAGCGGAUUUGAAAGCUCUGGCUGCCCUCUCACAGCCAGGGUAUAUAGGUUCUUUAGGCGUGAUGUGAUGUGAUGGGCUCGAUUUACAUAUUUGAGUAUUCAACCUAUGACAACAUCCAUAAAUGUUCAUGACAAUACAAUUGCUGCCAAGAGUUGCUGGAACUUGAUAUUUCCGUUUUGAAACUGCAGAUGAAGCUCUCAGAGCUUUACACCAUGCAGGGGCAAUCUCGGUGAUUAAGUCUAUCCCAGAUUCCUCUGAUGAAGUUGAAAUUGAGACAUGUAAGGCUAGCUUGCUGAAGAGAUUCCAGGAUCUGAGAUAUGAUAGUUCGUCUUAAGUAAUCGAUUCAGGGCAUGACCUUUACCAAUGCAGGCUUGAAGUACAGUCAGGUCAAAAAGUCAUCUGACAUCUUGGAGAGAUUAGGCUUCACAAGUAAUGAAAAUACAGUGCAUAUCUUUUGAAUGUAAUUUGAACCAAAAUUUCCCCAUCUAUACUCGUGUUUUUAAUGCUAUGAAUCGUAGGGGUUUGUAUACCAUGAGCUCGUGGAGUGGAUAUGUAAUAGUUGUCCUGCGCAGUUAUAAUUGUGCUCGUAAGGCUGUGUUUACAUUGAGUAGCUUAGUUUGUGACCCUGAUGGUUUGCCAAGCAAGUAGUUAGCAUUUAGCACACGUCCACCAAUUUUUGUG